RNAcentral lists this ribosomal RNA (268 nucleotides) under uncultured prokaryote. RNAcentral's name for it is "partial 16S ribosomal RNA". It matches the Rfam family "Bacterial small subunit ribosomal RNA", at positions 524 to 792 of the family's 1533-position model. The record is from RNAcentral.
UACGUAGGGGCAAGCGUUGUCCGGAAUUAUUGGGCGUAAAGCGCGCGCAGGCGGUCCUUUAAGUCUGAUGUGAAAGCCCACGGCUUAACCGUGGAGGGUCAUUGGAAACUGAGGGACUUGAGUACAGAAGAGGAGAGUGGAAUUCCACGAGUAGCGGUGAAAUGCGUAGAGAUGUGGAGGAACACCAGUGGCGAAGGCGACUCUCUGGUCUGUAACUGACGCUGAGGUGCGAAAGCGUGGGUAGCAAACAGGAUUAGAUACCCGCGUA